AACCAGUAUCCAUUUCUAGAGAUGAUGCAUUCAAAAUAACAUUCAAUCCUACUUAACCUGAUAAUCUUAAUCCUAUUGCAUGUUCUCAGAUUCACUGCGACUGAGUUGAUCAGCUCUUCACUGUUUUGAACAUAAAACAAUAUAACCUGUGAUAAAGUCUUAUUCAUUGAAGACCUGUGCUGGUUAGCUGGUAUCCGAAUCCAUCCUUGCUCUUGGGAAAUCACCUAAUGAUUCUGAAACGUUUGUGCACAAAUGGAUAAUUUCCAGUUAACGUUUGUGUAUCAAACAAUGGUGAUCUGAGAAAUCCACCAAAAGCAUAAACCAAAUAAAAAGGAAGAUGUAUCUUGUUUAGUUAUGAUCAUUUAUAAGGAACGUUAUACUUUUAGAUAUUAUUUGUGUUAUGGCUAAGUAAUGAUUAAUAGAUGAUUUAAGCGGAGAAAGGAAUAAUCAAUAGGUCAUCUUCCUAAGUGUAGAGACCCAUAUUUUAUGGUCAAAAGACAGGUUUGUGAUGACAUUACCUAAUUAGCAUCUGCUGAGAGAGGCUGUUGUGUAUGAUAGAAUCACCACAAAUAGAUGUGGUUUAGAGUCUUCCAUUAGCUAAUGGGACCUGGGGAAACAAUUCUGACUCUUAGAUUUUUCAUCAGUAAAUUAAGAGAUUAGAUCAAUGCAUUUGAAACCCAAAGCUCCACAGUUUUCUGUGAUGGCCCCAGGUUUUCCACUCAGACACUGGUUUUCUGGCAAAUUUUUGAAUGGUGAAUUUGGAGACAUUGUAAAUAGUCUGGCAGGUUUAAUAAUAAAGAAGACAAAGUUGAGAACUGUCGCAUAGAGUAUGGCUUUACUUUUUUAAGGAAAUGUGCUGUCAUUGACCUUGGUCACUGAAAGAAACGAGCGAUUUCCAUGAAACUCUGGUGGGUGCUCUGGACAGUGACACUAUGACUAAUCUACUCUCCUUCCUGAAGUCGGUGACCAGGGUAAAGUCCUGUCUCCAGCUUCAAAAAAUCACAUGGAAAAAAAAAUCCCUAAUCCUUAGAUCUAAAUUGAUGACAACAGAAUGGUGCAACUUGAAUGCAAGAUUUUAAAAAUCACAUUUCUAAAUUUCCAGCUGCGUUUCACUGUCAUCUAAUAACACCUUGUUCACCAUCUUCCCUGGAGUAGAAUGAUGAGAAUCUAAGAGACACUUGCGCCCUGAAAGAGCACAAUUUUGGAUUCUUCCACAGCUUGCUGCAGGAAACUACAAACUACCAGAUGUCGCUAAGUAUUUGUUAACUGAAAAGGAGAGGAUUCAGACAUUUACCGAAGCAUCCCUGUCAAAAUAAAUGUCACUAUUCAACCGGUUGACACAUCUCCCGUGGAUGACGUGGUUGUUAUGAAACUUGACCUCCUUUGUGGAGUUUGAACGAAGGAGAAGAUGAAAACACUGUCAUCUUUCCAAAAAAUGACCAUUGACUCCUCCUCCUCGAGGCAUUUUAACCGUUCUCUAAACAUGUAACUAAAAGAUAUGAGAAAAAAUAAAGAUUAUGGUUUCUAAAAUAACCAUACCGUUCACUAUGUCUGUUCUAUUAACUGUGACAAGUAUCUAAUGAUCCACAAAUAUUUCUUUAAAAUAGCUUCUAUAUUUUCACUUUUAUUUGAGACCAAUCAAUCCAUCCCUAAAGAACUGAAGCAGAAGCAGGUUUUAUUGGACAGGAUGACUCUAUGUCCUACAAUCCUCAAUCCUGCAAAAAUUCAGAAACCAUCAACAGAGGGUGGAUAUGGGUACUCUGAACAUAGUAUGCUGGUGCCUCUGACUGCAUCCCUGCUGGGCAUUGCUUUUAACUGGUCGAUCACAUUUGGCACAUUAUAGGUACAAUAUGAUGC
This 1857-nucleotide long non-coding RNA is filed under the name Heterocephalus glaber (naked mole-rat). Its description in RNAcentral is "lncRNA (ENSHGLG00100038336.1)". The record is from RNAcentral. Lineage: Eukaryota; Metazoa; Chordata; Mammalia; Rodentia; Bathyergidae.